UGGGGAAUCUUGCGCAAUGGGCGAAAGCCUGACGCAGCCAUGCCGCGUGAAUGAUGAAGGUCUUAGGAUUGUAAAAUUCUUUCACCGGGGACGAUAAUGACGGUACCCGGAGAAGAAGCCCCGGCUAACUUCGUGCCAGCAGCCGCGGUAAUACGAAGGGGGCUAGCGUUGCUCGGAAUUACUGGGCGUAAAGGGCGCGUAGGCGGAUCGUUAAGUCAGAGGUGAAAUCCCAGGGCUCAACCCUGGAACUGCCUUUGAUACUGGCGAUCUUGAGUAUGAGAGAUGUAUGUGGAACUCCGAGUGUAGAGGUGAAAUUCGUAGAUAUUCGGAAGAACACCAGUGGCGAAGGCGACAUACUGGCUCAUUACUGACGCUGAGGCGCGAAAGCGUGGGGAGCAAACAGG
RNAcentral lists this ribosomal RNA (404 nucleotides) under bacterium. RNAcentral's name for it is "partial 16S ribosomal RNA". It matches the Rfam family "Bacterial small subunit ribosomal RNA", at positions 355 to 776 of the family's 1533-position model. The record is from RNAcentral.